CCGGCCCGGCGGGACGGAAAACGGGGCAAGGUCUGCUCCAGGCCACGGGAGAGCUGGAUUCGUGGCGCCGGUGGGAGGAGAGACAGAGAGAGGGGCUAAACAGUCCCAGCUCCCUCAGCUUUCCCUCAUAAAUAAGGUGCACCAGUCCCCUCAUCUUCCAGGACACUUUCAGGCUAUAUCUCUCCUGCCCUGAGGAGAUCAGAACUGGAUGUGUCCCAUCCCUGGAAACACUGGAGCAUCCUCCCACAUCCCAGGCAGGACACCAGGGUCCUUCCAGCCCACCCCAGCCUUGACUCCCAGCUCAGGCUCCUCUGCAGUCAGACACUCUGGGGAAGCUCCAGGUUGUGGUGACACGAGUGAAGACAGACAAUCAAGAAAACAGAAUGUGAAGUAUUUUUUUUUUUAUAUACAGAAUACAGGAAAGUUUCUGUAAAGUCUAAAACGUUACAAUUACUAUGUACAGUGGAACUAGCUGUUCUGCUGCGGGGAGGUGGCAGAGAAACAAAAGAGACAGACAGGUUACGACAAAGGAUCUGCUACAAUAGACAAUUUGAGGAACGUCAUACCACAUGUAGCACUGUACACAGCUUUAAAACAUUGAAAAAUGCCAUCACUGAUGUAUUUACACAGAAUCCAACACUUUUCCUUAUUUGAAAUAAAAAAUAAGAUGGACACCAGGAAAAGAAC
Long non-coding RNA from Poecile atricapillus (Black-capped chickadee), 687 nucleotides. RefSeq lists it as uncharacterized. The transcript is spliced from 3 exons. The record is from RefSeq and is a predicted model, not a curated record. NCBI's taxonomy places the organism in Eukaryota, Metazoa, Chordata, Aves, Passeriformes, Paridae.